AGAGACUCGGUGGGGUGGGGAGGGGGAAAGGGAGGGGGAGACGGAGUUUAAAGGCGAUAGAAAAAUAGGGAAGUGAUAAUGGGAGGCCGAGACAGAGAGGACGGAUAGAUGAAACUACGGGAGAGAGAAAGAGGCAGCGAGCAAACGAGUUAGACAAAGAGAGAGAGAGAUUCGAGAUGAUCCUCAAAGAGGGGACGAUCUUUGGGCCUGGGAGUCUCUCCGGGUGCUUUGGAGGCUAUAGAAGCAGUAACGAAAAAAGUAGACAAAACCAGUCUAAGGUAUAAAUCUCUUUGGUUUAGGAUACAACAUUGACGUUAUAAAUGUUCACUGAGGAAAACUGCGAUUUGUGACGUUAUUUGGACGCUAUUUUGCGUUAUUUCGCGUUUUGAAAACGCGUUGAAACGAAAUUGGGGGACUCCAAAAUGUAAAGAACGUCCCUGUGGCAUUUUGCGAUGUUUUGCGUAUAAAGAUAACAUCAAAAUGUCACACCUCUAGGUAUUGUAUAUGCGCAUAAAUGAAUCUUAAGGGUCUAUCCAGGCAAACUUGCACAGGCGCAUAAGCGUAUGCAUAAAAAUCGAUCUGUCAUUUAUUCGCCCGUCGAUCAAUCUCGCAACAGUAGAUAAAUAAAAUAAAACAAAAUAUCGCACUUA
Long non-coding RNA from Vollenhovia emeryi, 650 nucleotides. RefSeq lists it as uncharacterized. Lineage: Eukaryota; Metazoa; Arthropoda; Insecta; Hymenoptera; Formicidae. The transcript is spliced from 2 exons. The record is from RefSeq and is a predicted model, not a curated record.